AACACGUGGGAAAUCUGCCCUGAACUCUGGGACAAGCCUUGGAAACGAGGUCUAAUACCGGAUAUGACCGUGGAGCGCAUGCUCUGUGGUGGAAAGCUCCGGCGGUUCAGGAUGAUCCCGCGGCCUAUCAGCUUGUUGGUGGGGUAAUGGCCUACCAAGGCGACGACGGGUAGCCGGCCUGAGAGGGCGACCGGCCACACUGGGACUGAGACACGGCCCAGACUCCUACGGGAGGCAGCAGUGGGGAAUAUUGCACAAUGGGCGAAAGCCUGAUGCAGCGACGCCGCGUGAGGGAUGACGGCCUUCGGGUUGUAAACCUCUUUCAGCAGGGAAGAAGCGCAAGUGACGGUACCUGCAGAAGAAGCACCGGCUAACUACGUGCCAGCAGCCGCGGUAAUACGUAGGGUGCGAGCGUUGUCCGGAAUUAUUGGGCGUAAAGAGCUCGUAGGCGGCCUGUCGCGUCGGAUGUGAAAGCCCGGGGCUUAACCCCGGGUCUGCAUUCGAUACGGGCAGGCUAGAGUGUGGUAGGGGAGAUCGGAAUUCCUGGUGUAGCGGUGAAAUGCGCAGAUAUCAGGAGGAACACCGGUGGCGAAGGCGGAUCUCUGGGCCAUUACUGACGCUGAGGAGCGAAAGCGUGGGGAGCGAACAGGAUUAGAUACCCUGGUAGUCCACGCCGUAAACGUUGGGAACUAGGUGUUGG
This 700-nucleotide ribosomal RNA is filed under the name Kitasatospora sp. A20MGF. RNAcentral's name for it is "bacterial SSU rRNA". It matches the Rfam family "Bacterial small subunit ribosomal RNA", at positions 112 to 826 of the family's 1533-position model. The record is from RNAcentral. Lineage: Bacteria; Bacillati; Actinomycetota; Actinomycetes; Kitasatosporales; Streptomycetaceae.